RNAcentral lists this ribosomal RNA (567 nucleotides) under uncultured bacterium. Its description in RNAcentral is "partial 16S ribosomal RNA". It matches the Rfam family "Bacterial small subunit ribosomal RNA", at positions 355 to 914 of the family's 1533-position model. The record is from RNAcentral.
UGGGGAAUUUUGGACAAUGGGGGAAACCCUGAUCCAGCCAUCCCGCGUGUGCGAUGAAGGCCUUCGGGUUGUAAAGCACUUUUGGCAGGAAAGAAACGUCGCGGGUUAAUACCCCGCGAAACUGACGGUACCUGCAGAAUAAGCACCGGCUAACUACGUGCCAGCAGCCGCGGUAAUACGUAGGGUGCAAGCGUUAAUCGGAAUUACUGGGCGUAAAGCGUGCGCAGGCGGUUCGGAAAGAAAGAUGUGAAAUCCCAGAGCUUAACUUUGGAACUGCAUUUUUAACUACCGGGCUAGAGUGUGUCAGAGGGAGGUGGAAUUCCGCGUGUAGCAGUGAAAUGCGUAGAUAUGCGGAGGAACACCGAUGGCGAAGGCAGCCUCCUGGGAUAACACUGACGCUCAUGCACGAAAGCGUGGGGAGCAAACAGGAUUAGAUACCCUGGUAGUCCACGCCCUAAACGAUGUCAACUAGCUGUUGGGGCCUUCGGGCCUUGGUAGCGCAGCUAACGCGUGAAGUUGACCGCCUGGGGAGUACGGUCGGCAAGAUUAAAACUCAAAGGAAUUGAC